AAUGGGGGAAACCCUGAUGCAGCCAUGCCGCGUGUGUGAAGAAGGCCUUCGGGUUGUAAAGCACUUUCAGUAGGGAGGAAAGGGUGAGUCUUAAUACGGCUCAUCUGUGACGUUACCUACAGAAGAAGGACCGGCUAACUCCGUGCCAGCAGCCGCGGUAAUACGGAGGGUCCGAGCGUUAAUCGGAAUUACUGGGCGUAAAGCGUGCGCAGGCGGUUUGUUAAGCGAGAUGUGAAAGCCCUGGGCUCAACCUAGGAAUAGCAUUUCGAACUGGCGAACUAGAGUCUUGUAGAGGGGGGUAGAAUUCCAGGUGUAGCGGUGAAAUGCGUAGAGAUCUGGAGGAAUACCGGUGGCGAAGGCGGCCCCCUGGACAAAGACUGACGCUCAUGCACGAAAGCGUGGGGAGCAAACAGGAUUAGAUACCCUGGUAGUCCACGCCGUAAACGAUGUCUACUCGGAGUUUGGUGUCUUGAACACUGGGCUCUCAAGCUAACGCAUUAAGUAGACCGCCUGGGGAGUACGGCCGCAAGGUUAAAACUCACAUGAAUUGACGGGGGCCCGCACAA
This 566-nucleotide ribosomal RNA is filed under the name uncultured Shewanella sp. Its description in RNAcentral is "bacterial SSU rRNA". It matches the Rfam family "Bacterial small subunit ribosomal RNA", at positions 370 to 928 of the family's 1533-position model. The record is from RNAcentral. Lineage: Bacteria; Pseudomonadati; Pseudomonadota; Gammaproteobacteria; Alteromonadales; Shewanellaceae.